This is a long non-coding RNA of Oreochromis niloticus (Nile tilapia), 969 nucleotides long. RefSeq lists it as uncharacterized. NCBI's taxonomy places the organism in Eukaryota, Metazoa, Chordata, Actinopteri, Cichliformes, Cichlidae. The transcript has 2 exons. The record is from RefSeq and is a predicted model, not a curated record.
ACAAGCGGUCCGCACCGUCGGGGGCUGAUCAGGUGCAUCUGAAGAAACCAGCGCCAAGUAUCUUGCAGGUUGAAGCCAGGUGAUUGGGUCCUGAUUCGAGUUCUCCAUAGAAAGAAUUGGAGCUUGCCCCGUUGGGAAGGCCCAUACCAAGUGCUUAUCACCACACCAACUGCCUGUAAGAUAGCAGAGAGACCAUCUUGGAUUCACCAAAGCCACUGCAAGAAAGUGAGUGACAGCCCAGACUCAUAGGCGCCGGCACCCCUACCUUCAGGUGAUCUGACUGGUGAAGGGAGGGCUGAUCGGGUAUAUCCCGCCCUCUGCUUCUUGCCAGUAGUCUACUCACCUGAGGACCUAGGUGUGUUUGGUCGCCAUGAAGACUCCUGUUGUCCUCGUGGCUGUCCUCCUACUCUCAGCAGGACUCCUCAUGUUUCUAGAGGAUGGUACAAAAACGAACAGCACCAUCUACGGACGAGAUGGACGCAUGACAAUUCACACCUCCGUGACAUGACACAAGACCACAUUCACCCAUGGAUGAAUAACGCAUGGUACCGCUACGUACAUGACAGAACUAAGGGAGAGCCUAACAACACUGCAUGUUACGUCUGCUCCCACAUGCCAUGCACUUCAACACAUCCCACUUUUUAUGGAAACUACAUGAAUAAAACACAAGCCAAGUGCGCUGCCAGCUUCGCGGGCAUUGGCUAUCAACACAAGAAAAUCAUCAUUGAUGAGACAAGCUCUAUCAUCUAUUCGCUUAACUUUCUUAGUAUCUUUCAGGGACCACCCCGAUACGAGGUAAUCACCGUCGAAAACGCUGGAUUUGACAACGGAACGUGUGACCAGCUCUUCUGGAUCAACUUCAACGUGACGAAUCGGAACACGUCCAUUCACUUCCCAGUGUUCUUGGACCAAACCCCAGGGAAGAACCACUCCAUGUGCUACCGACAAGACAACGGUAACAGACCCCUA